GAUGAACGCUGGCGGCGUGCCUAAUACAUGCAAGUCGAGCGAACAGACGAGGAGCUUGCUCCUCUGACGUUAGCGGCGGACGGGUGAGUAACACGUGGAUAACCUACCUAUAAGACUGGGAUAACUUCGGGAAACCGGAGCUAAUACCGGAUAAUAUAUUGAACCGCAUGGUUCAAUAGUGAGAGACGGUUUUGCUGUCACUUAUAGAUGGAUCCGCGCCGCAUUAGCUAGUUGGUAAGGUAACGGCUUACCAAGGCAACGAUGCGUAGCCGACCUGAGAGGGUGAUCGGCCACACUGGAGCUGAGACACGGUCCAGACUCCUACGGGAGGCAGCAGUAGGGAAUCUUCCGCAAUGGGCGAAAGCUUGACGGAGCAACGCCGCGUGAGUGAUGAAGGUCUUCGGAUCGUAAAACUCUGUUAUUAGGGAAGAACAAAUGUGUAAGUAACUAUGCACGUCUUGACGGUACCUAAUCAGAAAGCCACGGCUAACUACGUG
RNAcentral lists this ribosomal RNA (497 nucleotides) under uncultured bacterium. RNAcentral's name for it is "partial 16S ribosomal RNA". It matches the Rfam family "Bacterial small subunit ribosomal RNA", at positions 28 to 507 of the family's 1533-position model. The record is from RNAcentral.